GGUUUCAUGGUUGAAUAGUAAGGACACUUGCCCCUCACCCAAGAGUCCCGGGUUCGAUCCCCGAUCGAGGAGCUA
Molecule: non-coding RNA, 75 nt
Organism: Rhamnusium bicolor
Lineage: Eukaryota; Metazoa; Arthropoda; Insecta; Coleoptera; Cerambycidae
Source: the annotation of a GenBank genome assembly